RNAcentral lists this ribosomal RNA (460 nucleotides) under uncultured bacterium. Its description in RNAcentral is "partial 16S ribosomal RNA". It matches the Rfam family "Bacterial small subunit ribosomal RNA", at positions 338 to 795 of the family's 1533-position model. The record is from RNAcentral.
CCUACGGGAGGCAGCAGUGAGGAAUAUUGGUCAAUGGACGAGAGUCUGAACCAGCCAAGUAGCGUGAAGGAUGACUGCCCUAUGGGUUGUAAACUUCUUUUAUAUGGGAAUAAAAUGUUCCACGUGUGGGAUUUUGUAUGUACCAUAUGAAUAAGGAUCGGCUAACUACGUGCCAGCAGCCGCGGUAACACGGAGGAUCCGAGCGUUAUCCGGAUUUAUUGGGUUUAAAGGGAGCGUAGGUGGAUUGUUAAGUCAGUUGUGAAAGUUUGCGGCUCAACCGUACAAUUGCAGUUGAAACUGGCAGGCUUGAGUACAGUAGAGGUGGGCGGAAUUCGUGGUGUAGCGGUGAAAUGCUUAGAUAUCACGAAGAACUCCGAUUGCGAAGGCAGCUCACUGGACUGCAACUGACACUGAGGCUCGAAAGUGUGGGUAUCAAACAGGAUUAGAUACCCGAGUAGUC